Molecule: long non-coding RNA, 1559 nt
Organism: Chrysemys picta bellii (western painted turtle)
Lineage: Eukaryota; Metazoa; Chordata; Testudines; Emydidae
Source: RefSeq, a predicted model, not a curated record
CUGGGUGGAGUGUGAAACAACCCAUCAACAGCCAUUGUCCAGCGAGGAAGCUACAAUUCAAUGACUCACCUACAUGAGGCCACACCAGGGGAAUUGCUCAACCUUGCCUGGAGACUCAGCAAUGCCCACCCAGACAUGCCUGGACUUGUGUUUUCCAAGACACAGACUGCGGGUAUAAAGCAGACACAGUGGCUGCAUGCAGGACCUCUCUGCUUCACCCACCUACACUACAAGCAACAAGGACAUUCUGAAGACUCCAGCUGAGGGGACUGGUCCAGAUUUCAAGGGUGAAAUCUGUAUACUAUGGACUGCAAUAUCCAGUGCGGGACUUUGAAUCAGGCUCCUACUCCAGUAUCCAGUCUCUGACAGUGACUGGUACCAGAUUCUCCAGAGGAAGCUACAAAGAAAUCCGGUAGUUGACAAUUAGGUAAUACCCUAGCCAUAGGAGGAGUUCUUUCCUGUCCCAAGAGGGCGGCUGGCCCUGAAAACCCGAUUCUCCUCAGGAUUGCCUGGCACCAUGCUGUCAUUCCCAUUCUCAUCAUUUCUCUGAGAAGAGCAUGCACCAUCCACAAAUAGGCGCUCCCCCUCAGAGACAUGUUUGUACAGGAUAUGCAUCAUCCACUGCUGCCUCUUGUUCACUCUCUGUGCUGCAGACCAUCAAAAGCAGAUACACAAAUAGAACACUAUUUAAUGAAUACAGCAAGGAGGCAGCCUUGUUGAAAUAUUUCCAGGCCCAAUAGGAAGCUCCAAUUGUGCCUGUCCCACAAGGACCAUGCACGUUCAUCCAUGCCCAAUUACCAAUUUGUCUGUGGCUAUGACUUUGGUGAAUGGUGACAAGUGAAAGUAGUGAGCAAAUGAUUCAAUAACAUACUUGGCGGUUGAACAGAGAUAUUUCAGAUGGGGCAUGCUGCCUAACCGCAGCACAAUGAGGAUAUAUUGGGUUCCCAAAACUCGAGGCCACACUCCCGACUCUUAUGCAGUUAAUUGAGAUGGAUAAAGUUAUGUGAUUUCAUCCUUUGCAACUAGGGUGACACAAAAAAACCAUACCCAGAGACAACUGAAUAAGCCAGGCAAAGGCCUGGUUCCAACCUUUGCAGCAGGAAUGUCCAUGCACAGGUUUACAGUGUCUGAGUAUGAGAACAUUCAUUGUGAAUCUCAUCCCAUCCUAUGACAUUGCCAUUUUUUCAGUGUUGUAGCAGUGGAGUCUCCGUCAAAGCCACACAAGUCAUCCAGAGAGGAAAAAGUUUUUAAAAUGUCCUAAAUAUUCCCAGAUCCUACCAGCCUAGCAAUUACGAACUCCCUAAACUGGUUCCAUGCUCAACCUGGGUGAAUGAAGAGUUCAGCGACUUACUUAUAGUUAGUUACAAUCAUCCAGUCAAGAAUGGGAAUAAUGUGACUCAUCACAACAAGGUAACAAUUAGAGCUGCUUGAACAUUUCAGAAUUCUGAAAUUUCAAUAAAAUUUCAAUAAAAAGGAUUAUCUUUUUCAGAAAACCAUUCAUGAAAGUUUCAUUCCUUCCAUUGACCAGCUAUAGAGCUGCUUAAAAUUCUCUGAAUUUU